RNAcentral lists this long non-coding RNA (4158 nucleotides) under Triticum aestivum (bread wheat). RNAcentral's name for it is "long non-coding RNA (TAES_LNC019264)". The record is from RNAcentral. Lineage: Eukaryota; Viridiplantae; Streptophyta; Magnoliopsida; Poales; Poaceae.
UCGGAAGGAGGAUGGCCGCCCAAAGACGAAUGAGGAGGUUGAGACAUCUGAUGUGCCUGCUGCAGCGACCACGACUACUGCAUCAAAAGAAAGGUACUACUGCAUCAACUCAGGCCGCCCUGAACAACCAUUAGAUAAUGAUGCAUUGUUUCGCCGUGCGAAUUAAUUGGUAGUAGUGAUUGAUAAGCUGAGCACAAUAAACCAUGUAAUGAUACUUUCCUUCUGGUAUGCCAUUGGCACAAGAGUGGUGAUACGCCUGGGCAUGAUGUUGUUAUUGAUCGGAUGUAUGAACGUGCCUAUAACUGCCAUGCUUGCUACUAUUUCUUUGUGAAAAGAGUGGUAACAAUAAGAUUACUGCUUGAUGUACAGAGUUCAGGUUAUCACACCAUAUGAAGUGAAAGCGCCGUUGGGACUUCUCGCGGUGCAUAGAACUUCCAUGGCAGCACGGGCGAUUCCAAGGCCCACUUGAGCUCCUCCUGCUGAUGUCAGACGGUGAGGUUUCUCAACCUCCACUCUAUUAGCCAUGUAAGAUUGCUUUGCUAGAGAUCAUUUAUUUCUUGCCAUCCAUUCGUUAUAAACUUACGAAUGGAUCCUUAAUUAUGUGUGUCAUGUUGUUUCCCUGAAAACGGACGAUCGAGUCACAUUUCUUAUUUUCUGUUGUGAGUUGAGGAGCUUGCGGUUUUAAAAGUAUGUCUCAGAUGUAAGAAUGUGGAAAUGAUGGACAGGUAGCAGUUUUUUUAUAUUUGAUGUUUAUAUCCAAUAUUAAGUAGUUAUUAACUCCAUGGCACAGGACUGUACUUUUUGUUGAUGUAGUAGCUUUUGAUUUCCAUUUAGUUAUGGCUUUAUCUCCGCUUUUACAUACUGAUUAGGAUUCCCAUUUAGUCAGGGUCACAAAGUCUUUAUGCCAGGAUUCUUCCCUUUGUAAAUGUGAAAGCGGCUUGUACAAAUGGCAUCUGCCAGGAUUCUUCCCUUUGUAAAUGUGAAAGCGGCUUGUGCCAGGAUUCCCAUUUACUCACAUACUUGCUCUGCUGCUUUGUAGCCCAACUGAUUAUGUACUCUUGAUCGUCCAAAUGGCAUCUGUCAACUCCAUUAUGAAUCGUCUCUUUAUCUUAAGGUUGUACUUGCUAUGCUAGAAUGAUAGAUGAUAUAGUAAAUACAUCUUUUCUUUUUACAAGGCUCAUAUGGUAUGGAAUUUCGUGUACUGUCAACCAAGUUCAGUACGUUGUCUAUUAAAUAUAUUCCUGUUUCUUCUUCAAAAUGUGAUGCUCCAGUUCAGAUAAUCAGUAGUGCAUAUUUUGGCUGAUAUUUCUACUACAAAGCACUUGGUGCUGAUGGAUAAGUGUCGGACGGGUUGGGUUUCUUGUUUGAAGAGACUUGCAUUGUUGACUAUUAUAGCCUUUUUCUGCGUAACUUAACAAGUGUUAACAUAUUUUUAAAAUAUUACUAUAAUUUUGAACUAUUAUAGCCUUUUUCUGCGUAACUUAACAAGUGUUAACAUAUUUUUAAAAUAUUACUAUAAUUUUGAAAUUUGUUCACAUAUUUCAAAAAUGUUUGUUCAUAAACUCAAGAUGUUCUUCUCACAUGAAAGUAUAGUCUCUCUUUUGAUUUACUUUAAUUCCCAUUUCUGGCAAAAACUAAAUAAUGUACUGAAUUGUAGUUUUGUAUUACUUAUAUAUUAUUUCAUCAAGCAGUGGUAUGCAUUGGCAUCCAGUGAUGUUUUUUUCUUUGGAAUGUUUGAUAGGUAAUUGCAGGAGUUGAUGAUAUGUAUCGUCCAGCACCGUUACUUGAGGUAACCUAUUUAACUUGAUAACCGAGUAAAUCAACUGAAUUUUUCCCAUGGUGAGCUAGCUUCAACUGUUCCUGUUUGGGUUAUGUUUAUCAGUAGUUGUGAUAGUUCAUGGUGUGGUCAGUGCCAUUUAACAUCUUAUUCUGCCUAUGGUAUUAAAGAUUUUAGAUUAAUCUCAAAUAUUGGAUUUUGUCUGAAUGUUGGCCAUCGACUAUCAUAUUAUGCAUAUUUGUGAUUCAGAUUUCUUUUUAUGCCAUUGUUCAGACAUUACUCAAAAUCUCCGAUUUGUCAAAAACUUGUCUUGAUUAGAUGAUAAUGUGAUAUACAUGGUGACUCCUAUUAAAUGAGUCCAUCCACUUACACCCUUAUAAGCGAGCAACUAAUUGAUGGUAAAUCUGUAACCCAUUGUUUUCGACUUAUGCGCGUACUUGGUUUGGCCUGUAAAUCUGUAGCCCAUUGCAUAGCUGCGACCGUGGUUUUGGCCUGCAAUUCCUGCUGGCUAUGUUGAUGGCCCUACCGCUGUGAUUGACGCCGAUGUCCUUCUGUAGUGANNNNNNNNNNAGAUGUUGCACGCCAGAUAGGUCUCGACGGCGUGCAAUAUUUAGUUUUAGCUUUAUUGUGUGAGUUUUUUGUGUUUUUUUGGUUUUCCAUUGGUCCUAAAUUGUACAUCAAAAUCAGUGUACAUGUACUAAGAGAGAUGAGCUACUAUGUAGACAUUAGUUGAUUUUGUUAUGUACCUGGUUACUUAAUAAUCGUUCUUAAUAUUGAAAAGGGACAGAAAUAAGUUGAGUAUUUGAUCUGACUUGGUAGUGUUUGCCGGUUAACGCAUCUAUGUCAUUAGACCAGUUCUUUUUUCUUCUCACAGUUUGUCAUUUAGAAUGAUUUUUUAGAGGAACCAGGAACUGGUUCGUGAUUCACUUUGUCCUCUUUGUUGAUGAUCCUUUUCUUCCUAUGGUUAUCCAGGCUUGAGUCUCAGUUUGAUCUUACAGUUCUACGGCUCAAAGGUUGAUGACUGCCAUGAGGCACUACCUAGUUAAAUCUUCGUAAGUUGUUGACCAUGAACUUUUCUUCUUAAUUAUUUUCAUCUUCUUAGCCUUGCCACAUCAUCUCUUAAAAAUAGUUUGAAUCCAUCAACUGUGUGCUCUGCCUAUGCAAUUCAUUGAACCGUAAGAUUAAAACCUUCAUAAGGUGUAGCCCUGUCUCCAACUACCUUCUGAAUAUUAACAUUUUUGUUGGAAAAAGAAGAAAGAUUAAAUCAUAGUUUGCACUAAAUGAAAAUGAGUUUUUUUUUUACAUUUUGUUCACUCACUAGGAGGGUCACUAUUUAUAUGCUUGCUUCAACUUUUUCCGGAUCACCAUGUAAAUCAUUUGUACAGGAGCUCUGGAACAAGAAAAACAAUAAUCACAAGGAUGGAGGCUUAACAUGUAUUUUUUUUGCCAUCUGGUGUUUAUCUAAUUUUUUGAUGGGUGACCAAAACCAGAUUACCUUUUCUAAUGUUAGUAUUGGAGUGUUAUCUGCAAUGGCAUCUACUAUAUAUACUGAAAGUAGUUUUAUUUAUCUUUAGAACUUGAUAUAUUUUCUAAAACCACUUAUUAUGCUUCUAUUUGUAUCUAUGACUUCUGAAGCAAGUCAACACACACACAGGCAAAUAAACCAAACUGCUGGUAGAGUCACUGUAUAGUGUAUACAAGGAAAUUUACUUUGCUUCCGGUAGUGGGUUUAGGCUUGAUAGAAGCUUGGUUGUUUAUAUUUUCAGAAAACUGGAUCUAUCAUGAUUAAGAUAUGGUCAACAUGUAUAUAUUUGGUUCUACUGUGCUCUCCAGUGUUGCUUACCAAUGUGAUUGCUUAAUGAUUACUACGACAUAUCUUGCUAGGUCCAAGCUGACAACAAUCCUCUUGGUCUUAAAAAUUUUGUCGAGGCGGCAGGGAUCAAAGAAUAAGAGAUCUGGGUCUUCGCCUUCCAAGAUUAGAAGGGGGAAACCAUCGCUCACUCUCCAUAUGCUUUAAAAGCAAAUCUCAAGUGCAUUGCCUAUACAAAAAUAAUUUUGUGGUCAUCUAUCUCACAAACUAUUCACAUCAAGUUCAUAUGGAAUGGCACUCACGGAGGCAACUGAACCAAGCUAUCUAUUGUAUGCCUAACUAUGGCUUUGUAGUUUUAUCGCCUCCAUUGCCAUUCUUAGCUAAUUAGUUUUUCUAUUUGUAUGACUGUAGUGGAUGCUGCCUUGCUUCUGGCACGGGUUAACUUCGAUAGUCUCAUGCCCAUGUUUAACUUGAUGAUGUUACUCUUCUGGCACAUAUUGAAUGUUUCUUCUUACUCUUGAACCGGCCAGAUAAUCGGUUGUUCUGUUACAUGUGCUAAAACUUGCCUUCA